UACAGAGACUGCAAGCGUUAUUCGGAUUCACUGGGCGUAAAGGGUGCGCAGGCGGCCAAGUGUGUCAGGUGUGAAAUCCCGAGGCUUAACCUCGGAACUGCGCCUGAAACUACUUGGCUAGAGUACUGGAGAGGGUAACGGAAUUCACGGUGUAGCAGUGAAUGCGUAGAUAUCGUGAGGAACACCAGAGGCGAAGGCGGUUACCUGGACAGUUACUGACGCUCAGGCACGAAAGCGUGGGGAGCAAAGGG
This 251-nucleotide ribosomal RNA is filed under the name uncultured bacterium. RNAcentral describes it as "partial 16S ribosomal RNA". It matches the Rfam family "Bacterial small subunit ribosomal RNA", at positions 524 to 775 of the family's 1533-position model. The record is from RNAcentral.